AGUCCCCCAGAACCACUCAGACCUGAGAUUGUCUUUUGGCGUGUAUGAGUUUAUCGUUGCACAACAAACUCCCCAACCCUUAGCAGGCAUGUUUUUUCUUGGAGGUUCUAUGGGUCAGGUAUUCCCGAGUGGCUCAGCUGGUUGGUUCCGGCUCAGAGUCCCUCAUGAGGCUGCAGACAAGAGGCCAUCCAGAGCUGCCGUCACAUGAAGGCUUCACGGUCGGAGAACCUACCUCCACGCGGCUCUCACUCAUCUGGCUGUAGGCAGGAGGCCUCCGUUCUUCACAGAGAGGGCUUCUCCACAGGGCUUCUUGAGUGGCCUUGCAAUAUGGCGGCCGGCUUCCCCAGCCUGAGUGAUUCCAGUUGCCACGUUGGAGGGGACCAAACGGCAAGGAACCGAAUGCUGCCAACAUCUAGUGAGUGAGCUUAGAUGCAAAUCCUUCCCCAGCCAGCCUGCGAAUGAGACCACAGCCCAGGCCGACAGCCUGUGAGAGACCCUGAGCUGGAGGAGGCCACGCCCAGACUCCUGCCCCACAACAACCGGGCCACAGCAAUGUGCUCAAGCUGACAGCACUGUCCUCAGCACCAGCCCUACACACUACUGAGUGCCACAUUCUCCAAAGCAGGUCUGUGACCUAAGGCUGAGGCCAGCUCGGCAAAGGCAGCCCUUUUCUAGCAUCUAACCUGAGUCUGGUGGUUUACUUUCCCGACAUGAUGGCAGAAGGCAAAGCCCCGUGCUUGAAGCAGUUCAGAACGGUGAUGGGAACAGGAGAGCAGCCUUCAAAUGCUGUAUCCCAGGCACGUGGGGCUCGUCCCUGACUCACCACCAACCUUUCCACUCUACACCCACCUGCAUCUUAUAGUAAUUCCGGAUGCCAGCCCAUCGUCAACUCACCAGGCCUUGCUCAUGCAGUGUCCUCUUCCCACGUCUGCCUCGCUCACGUAGCCCUGCGAUUAGUGACUGGCAUCUUGUAACGAUCAGUAUUUAUUUGUUGCAUGACCAAACGGAGAAAGGACAGUCUCAGAUGUCCUUGUUCCUCCUUCUGGGGCCCAGAGGAGGACAUUCCUGGGGUCCUCCUAGAGGAGACAGAGGUCAGGAAUACCUCUGCAGGGCACCGAUGUGGCUGAGGGUGCCCACGUGGGUGUCGGUCCAUAAGAGGAAUUGACUCCUGGCCUCAGAAGCUGUGCCACUCGCCCAUGUGUCUUCAUGCUGCUAAGGAGCUUCUGGGAGUGGCGCAUUGUAGUUUCGUGGUUGUGUUUUGAAAAGGAAUCCUCAUCUUUUGAGAGCCUCAAAUCAGCGUGUUUGCAGAUGAAAUGAUCCAAUGUCGGGGAUUUGCUUCAAAGUCAUGGCAGUCUCUAAGACGACAAUGAUUCCCCGGGACCAGCUUAUUAAAAGCAAAAAAAAAUCCAGUGGCAGAGGGGACGUGGGGGACCUGGAUGAGAUCUGUGAAGCCUCGCUAUGAGAACCCCAGGCCCGUGGAGGUCCAUGGGGGUCCCCGAAGGCAGAGCUGAUGCUGACCUGUACCCCCAUCUGGACAACGGAUGGCCCUGAUCCUCUCUGCUCAGAAAUGCCCAGUGCGACGGACGGAUGUGUGUGUCCCAACCGCCCCCCCAAGCAGGUCCACAAGGAGCCCAAACCCACCAAGACAUGCAGCGUGACGAGCUCUGGGCCACAUUCUUCAUGCUCGCAACCUCCCGAUGGGGCCCGCCGUGCACAAAGCGGCCCAGUGAGAGAACACACCCGCCUUCCCAGCCCUGGCUUCCAGAUGGUGCCGGCCUGGCCUCCAGGUUUCCACCGUGGGGAAGGGAUGGCCUCCCCGCCCUCUGGAGUCCUCGAGACCCGCCUGUUCCAGGCUCUGGCCUGGUGGCGGAGAGGGGAAUGCUUUUUCCCCGCCUUCCUCCGGGCUCCGUGACACAGGCACCUGGGUCACAGAUGUGUCCCGCAGGGAGACAAAGGUGGCGAUGACCUAACCACCCCCACAGCGGGCAGUUCCUUCAAAAGGCGUGAGUCCCCAGCUCUUUCGGAAAGCAGCUCGGCGGAGCGUAUCAGGGGCCUGGAAAGGUGGACGCUUCCCUCUCCAGCGAUCACGCUUCUGGGAAUUUGCCCGAAGGAACUAAUCCUAAAAAAAGAGAAAAGAAAGACCACACACCCAGGGAUAUCUACCAAGGUGACAAGUACAAUAGGAAAUCAUUGGGUGCGACCGGUAGGUUGUCACCCUUGUAGGCAUUUUAAAAAUGAAGUCAGGGAGGCUCUUUAUGGAAAAUAUGGACUCUGUAAUGCCAAACAGAAAACAGAAAACACAAUGGCCAUUGCGGGGUGAGGGGCGCCUGUUCCGAUUUCGAAAAUGAAGACUGACGUCUUAAGGCGUGUUUCCUUUUUGGAUGGUCCCGUGGCUUUCUGGAGGGGAAGAGAAGGACGAGUGGAAAAAACCCGGGGAGGCCCUGGAAACCCUCUGGGAGGGAGCGCCCCUCGGGACAGGGCUUUGACCUUUUCCACAUCAAAAACUAGUUGACAGUUCAGACAGCCCAGCCUCUUUCCUGGAGACUGAGGCAGGCAUGUUUAUGUUUUCUAAAAGGUUUUAAAAGUUCUUUAUGUUAUUGCAAAAGCCAAGCAAUGCGUGCUCGUUGUUUAAAAAAAAAAAAAAAAGCACGGAAUUGUAUUAAGUAAGGCUGCUUCCCGUGGCCUCCUUCUCUUCAGAGGGGGCCACCUUGAGUCCUUUCUUUCUUUUCAUUUUUUUCCGUUUCCAGGGUUUUCAAACUUUUUUUUUUUUUAGCUCCCAGCCGCAGUGAAAAAAUAGAUUCUGCAUUGUAACCCAGUAUACGCGGAUGCUGGCGUAUAACUAAAUAGAAAACUUAUGCAAUGCUACUUAUUAUAAGAAAUGCCAUCUGGGGUUGUCUCUUGGAUGCUGUCCUUCCCCGUCCUGUCCUGUCUGUCCUGUCCUAUCUCAUCCCAUCCCGUUCUGUUUAAAAGGCAAGGUGGCUGGUCAUGACCCAGUCAUAUGGCUUCAUGUCCCACCGCUUGGCGUGACCUUCGAGGAAGCGGGUACCAUACAUGUUGCCGUUCGGUGUCCAUUGCCCAGCCCCACCCCACCCCCUCCCUGCUCUACAGCUUGUCUUUCCCCCUGGAGGAUUUCACAGCCCGAUCUCUGUAACUGGACAGACGGGGCCGGGGCCAUUUUGUCCUCCUAAAUGGUGGCAGAGGAGUUUCCGCACUGAUUUUUCAUGAUGGGUUUGUCCGGCUCCCUUUUAAUAGCCGUUUGCAUCGUCUCCACUCUGGGCUGUGGAGGCUCCGUGGGGUGACCCAUCUGUGCCCAGCCACCGGGACAUCUGUGCAGCGAGUGAGUUCUCAGUGCGGAUCGCCCACAGGUCUACAAGCAAGCGCCUCUCCGACAUCUCCACGGCCGCCGGGAUUGGCCCAGAGAGGGGCUCAGGGAGAUAAGGUGGCCCAGAUGCUGGAACCUCUCCGGACCUCAGUCUCCCCAUCUCGAGAAUAUGAGGGUUUUUGCAAGGAGACAAUGAGAUGACGAAUGUAUGAGAGCUUUGCCCAGGGCCUUGCAGCCAGCGGGGGCACAGUUGGUGUUUCCCAUCACCACCACCACCACCACCACGGGCAAGCUUCUGGUCCCCUGGCCCCAUUUCCCCAUCUGCGUGUCUCAGCAGACUCGCUACUCCAAAGGGCUUCUUCAAGGAUGAGUCAUGUGAUGUGUGCAGCAACCAUGUUUUGAAAAUGGAAAAGGUGUUAUGGAAACAUUAGUUACCAGAACUUGUUGUUAUGAAUAGCACAAACCAGCCAGUGGAGGCUAUUUCUGGCUACCGAAUUCCUUCUUUGAAGAUGAGCUUUUUUAAACAAGCAAUUUGUAUGUGUCCUGUAAAUAUCAGAAAAAUGGCCGGGAACAAAAGGAGACAAAGAAUCCCUCCUCAGAGGCUCCCGUUGGCGGUGUUCUUUAUCCCUGAGAAAGUGUCAAGGCAUUUUCCCAGGGUGUGUGUGUGUGUGUGUGUGUGUGUGUGUGUGUAUCUUUUCCCCCCUCUUUUAACAACAACAAAAAAAUGGGAUCGUUCUCUGCAUUCUCCAAGCAGCUCGUUCUCUCCUGGCUGCUGUCAUUUCUGAUGUCUCAGAGCACAGCCCGAGGGCGGCUCUCCCUUUCUGUCUGCCCGUGUGAUUCCGGGGUAUCGGCGCAUGUGUCUUCACGGCCCGGAUCUCGUGCCGAGACUUUUUGGGUUGAGCACAACAGCGGACUCUUCAGUGGGAACAGAAACAACCACAGAUGUCAUGAAAAGCCAUGUGGCCCCCUUUGGCUGUGUCCUAACAGGGCAUAGACAGGAAACUGAGGCCCAGAGUGGGUGACUUUUCCAAAGGCACACCGUGUAUCUCGGGCCAUCCGGAUGCGUCUG
Lynx canadensis (Canada lynx) is the source of this 4391-nucleotide long non-coding RNA. RefSeq lists it as uncharacterized. The transcript is spliced from 10 exons. Lineage: Eukaryota; Metazoa; Chordata; Mammalia; Carnivora; Felidae. The record is from RefSeq and is a predicted model, not a curated record.